AACGAACGCUGGCGGCAUGCCUAACACAUGCAAGUCGAACGAGACCUUCGGGUCUAGUGGCGCACGGGUGCGUAACGCGUGGGAACCUGCCCUUAGGUUCGGAAUAACUCCCCGAAAGGGGUGCUAAUACCGGAUAAUGUCUUCGGACCAAAGAUUUAUCGCCUUUGGAUGGGCCCGCGUUGGAUUAGCUAGUUGGUAGGGUAAAAGCCUACCAAGGCGACGAUCCAUAGCUGGUCUGAGAGGAUGAUCAGCCACACUGGGACUGAGACACGGCCCAGACUCCUACGGGAGGGAGCAGUGGGGAAUAUAGGACAAUGGGCGAAGGCCUGAUCCAGCAAUGCCGGGUGAGUGAUGAAGGCCUUAGGGUUGUAAAGCUCUUUUACCCGGGAUGAUAAUGACAGUACCGGGAGAAUAAGCUCCGGCUAACUCCGUG
Molecule: ribosomal RNA, 433 nt
Filed under: uncultured bacterium
Lineage: Bacteria
Description: partial 16S ribosomal RNA
Rfam family: Bacterial small subunit ribosomal RNA
Source: RNAcentral